UACGUAGGGGGCAAGCGUUGUCCGGAAUUACUGGGCGUAAAGCGCGUGUAGGCGGGGCGGAUAGUCGGACGUGAAAGCCCCCGGCUCAACCGGGGAGGGCCGUUCGAAACUGCCGCUCUUGAGGGCCGAAGAGGAGAGUGGAAUUCCUGGUGUAGCGGUGAAAUGCGUAGAGAUCAGGAGGAACACCCAUGGCGAAGGCAGCUCUCUGGUCGGCCCCUGACGCUGAGACGCGAAAGCGUGGGGAGCGAACGGG
This 253-nucleotide ribosomal RNA is filed under the name uncultured bacterium. RNAcentral describes it as "partial 16S ribosomal RNA". It matches the Rfam family "Bacterial small subunit ribosomal RNA", at positions 524 to 776 of the family's 1533-position model. The record is from RNAcentral.